This 408-nucleotide ribosomal RNA is filed under the name uncultured bacterium. RNAcentral's name for it is "partial 16S ribosomal RNA". It matches the Rfam family "Bacterial small subunit ribosomal RNA", at positions 28 to 526 of the family's 1533-position model. The record is from RNAcentral.
GACGAACGCUGGCGGCGUGCUUAACACAUGCAAGUCGAACGAAGUGGCAAACGGGUGAGUAACGCGUAAUCAACCUGCCCUUCCGAGGGGGACAACAGUUGGAAACGACUGCAAAUACCGUAUACUGCAGGGUGGGAUUGCGUCUGAUUAGCUAGUUGGAGGGGUAACGGCCCACCAAGGCGAUGAUAAGUAGCCGGUCUGAGAGGAUGAACGGCCACAUUGGGACUGAGACACGGCCCAGACUCCUACGGGAGGCAGCAGUGGGGAAUCUUCCGCAAUGGACGAAAGUCUGACGGAGCAACGCCGCGUGAGUGAUGACGGCCUUCGGGUUGUAAAGCUCUGUUAAUCGGGACGCGGUACCGGAAUAGAAAGCGACGGCUAACUACGUGCCAGCAGCCGCGGUAAUUC